RNAcentral lists this ribosomal RNA (474 nucleotides) under uncultured Alphaproteobacteria bacterium. Its description in RNAcentral is "bacterial SSU rRNA". It matches the Rfam family "Bacterial small subunit ribosomal RNA", at positions 38 to 546 of the family's 1533-position model. Lineage: Bacteria; Pseudomonadati; Pseudomonadota; Alphaproteobacteria. The record is from RNAcentral.
GGCGGCAUGCCUAACACAUGCAAGUCGAACGUGAUCCAUGACUUCGGUUGUGGUGAAAGUGGCAGACGGGUGAGUAACGCGUGGGAACCUGCCCAAUGGUAGGGAAUAACCGCGGGAAACUGCGGCUAAUACCCUAUGACCCCUGCGGGGGAGAGAUUUAUCGCCAUUGGAGGGGCCCGCGUCGGAUUAGGUAGUUGGUAGGGUAACGGCCUACCAAGCCAUCGAUCCGUAGCUGGUCUGAGAGGAUGAUCAGCCACACUGGGACUGAGAUACGGCCCAGACUCCUACGGGAGGCAGCAGUGGGGAAUAUUGGACAAUGGGGGCAACCCUGAUCCAGCAAUGCCGCGUGAGUGAUGAAGGCCUUCGGGUUGUAAAGCUCUUUCGGCGGGGAAGAUGAUGACGGUACCCGCAGAAGAAGCCCCGGCUAACUUCGUGCCAGCAGCCGCGGUAAUACGAAGGGGGCUAGCGUUGUUC